CGGGUGAGUAACGCGUGGGUAACCUGCCUCACACAGGGGGAUAGCAGUUGGAAACGGCUGAUAAUACCGCAUAAGCGCACAGUACCGCAUGGUACAGUGUGAAAAACUCCGGUGGUGUGAGAUGGACCCGCGUCUGAUUAGCUUGUUGGCAGGGUAACGGCCUACCAAGGCGACGAUCAGCAGCCGACCUGAGAGGGUGACCGGCCACAUUGGGACUGAGACACGGCCCAA
RNAcentral lists this ribosomal RNA (231 nucleotides) under uncultured bacterium. RNAcentral's name for it is "partial 16S ribosomal RNA". It matches the Rfam family "Bacterial small subunit ribosomal RNA", at positions 103 to 334 of the family's 1533-position model. The record is from RNAcentral.